GGAAGUGUGGCUUAUACUCAGUGCGGCUUAUAAUCGUGAAAUUACUGUAUUUGUAAAGCACAAAGAAAAUUAUGUUCAAGAGUACACUGUGGAUACUAAGGAUCUCAUUGGGAUGGAAAACUUCCUGAACUUGGCAUGCUGAUUUUUUUAAUUGAAAAAUGAAACUGACUGUAAAGCAAAGCCAGGUUAACUUUGAAUGCAGAGUUCAGAACUUCAUAGAAAUCCAAGGAAAUGCUACUUCUGUGUAGUAAUAACUAUUCUUGUCUGUUACUUGCAGGGCAACGCUUAUUUGAGAACUUGCACGUGUUACCUCACGCACCUAGCGUACAGAUGCAAGCCAUUCCUGAAGAUGCUGUUCAUGAAGACAGUGGAGAUGAGGAUGGAGAAGAUCCAGACAAACACAUUUCUAUUCGAGCAUCUGAUAAGCGCAUAGCCUGUGAUGAAGAAUUUUCAGAUUCUGAAGAUGAAGGGGAAGGUGGAUGACAAAAUGUUGCAGAUCAUAAGAAAGGAGCAAAGAAAGCCAGAAUAGAAGAAGACAAAAAAGAGACUGAAGAUAAAAAAGCAGAGGAAAAUCAGAACAGCUCAGGAACCGUUGAACAAAAGAUAGCCUCUCAUCAGUUGCAGAAUCUAAUACUAGAGUCUGAGAAUACCUAAAAGGAGAAGUUUUCGUAUGGAGAGAGACUGCUGAUUUCAUUUUGUACUAUUUGGCAUGGACUGUAUUUAUUUUCAAAUGGCUUUGUUCUGUUUUUGGUAAGUUGUGAGUUUUCUAAUUAUGAGGCAGAAAUUCCUUUCUUCACCAUGCUUUAUGUAAUAGUAUUUAAAAAUGGAUGUGAGUUAUUAUGUUAAAUGUCUAAACUGAACUAUUAAUUUGCCUUUCCUGAGCUGAUUUUACCUUUUUUGUAAUUU
This is a long non-coding RNA of Catharus ustulatus (Swainson's thrush), 906 nucleotides long. RefSeq lists it as uncharacterized. The record is from RefSeq and is a predicted model, not a curated record. The transcript is spliced from 3 exons. NCBI's taxonomy places the organism in Eukaryota, Metazoa, Chordata, Aves, Passeriformes, Turdidae.